CGCGGCCUAUCAGCUUGUUGGUGGGGUGAUGGCCUACCAAGGCGACGACGGGUAGCCGGCCUGAGAGGGUGUCCGGCCACACUGGGACUGAGAUACGGCCCAGACUCCUACGGGAGGCAGCAGUGGGGAAUAUUGCACAAUGGGCGCAAGCCUGAUGCAGCGACGCCGCGUGGGGGAUGACGGCCUUCGGGUUGUAAACCUCUUUCACCAUCGGCGAAGCCCGUAGCUUUUGUUGUGGGUGACGGUAGGUGGAGAAGAAGCACCGGCCAACUACGUGCCAGCAGCCGCGGUAAUACGUAGGGUGCGAGCGUUGUCCGGAAUUACUGGGCGUAAAGAGCUCGUAGGUGGUUUGUCGCGUUGUCCGUGAAAUUCCCUGGCUUAACUGGGGGCGUGCGGGCGAUACGGGCAGACUGGAGUACUGCAGGGGAGACUGGAAUUCCUGGUGUAGCGGUGGAAUGCGCAGAUAUCAGGAGGAACACCGGUGGCGAAGGCGGGUCUCUGGGCAGUAACUGACGCUGAGGAGCGAAAGCGUGGGGAGCGAACAGGAUUAGAUACCCUGGUAGUCCACGCCGUAAACGGUGGGUACUAGGUGUGGGUUUCCUUCCUUGGGAUCCGUGCCGUAGCUAACGCAUUAAGUACCCCGCCUGGGGAGUACGG
RNAcentral lists this ribosomal RNA (657 nucleotides) under uncultured bacterium. Its description in RNAcentral is "bacterial SSU rRNA". It matches the Rfam family "Bacterial small subunit ribosomal RNA", at positions 232 to 885 of the family's 1533-position model. The record is from RNAcentral.